RNAcentral lists this ribosomal RNA (482 nucleotides) under uncultured bacterium. RNAcentral's name for it is "partial 16S ribosomal RNA". It matches the Rfam family "Bacterial small subunit ribosomal RNA", at positions 30 to 507 of the family's 1533-position model. The record is from RNAcentral.
AUUGAACGCUGGCGGCAUGUUUUACACAUGCAAGUCGAACGGUAACAGCACUUCGGUGGCUGACGAGUGGCGAACGGGUGAGUAAUACAUCGGAACGUGCCUAGUAGUGGGGGAUAACUACUCGAAAGAGUAGCUAAUACCGCAUGAGAUCUAAGGAUGAAAGCAGGGGACCUUCGGGCCUUGCGCUACUAGAGCGGCUGAUGGCAGAUUAGGUAGUUGGUGGGAUAAAAGCUUACCAAGCCGACGAUCUGUAGCUGGUCUGAGAGGACGACCAGCCACACUGGGACUGAGACACGGCCCAGACUCCUACGGGAGGCAGCAGUGGGGAAUUUUGGACAAUGGGCGCAAGCCUGAUCCAGCAAUGCCGCGUGCAGGAUGAAGGCCUUCGGGUUGUAAACUGCUUUUGUACGGAACGAAAAGCCCUCUUCUAAUACAGGAGGGUCAUGACGGUACCGGAAGAAUAAGCACCGGCUAACUACGUG